AGUGAACGCUGGCGGUAGGCCUAACACAUGCAAGUCGAACGGCAGCACAGGAGAGCUUGCUCUCUGGGUGGCGAGUGGCGGACGGGUGAGGAAUACAUCGGAAUCUGCCCAGUCGUGGGGGAUAACGUAGGGAAACUUACGCUAAUACCGCAUGCGACCUUCGGGUGAAAGAGGGGGAUCGCAAGACCUCUCGCGAUUGGAUGAGCCGAUGUCGGAUUAGCUAGUUGGCGGGGUAAUGGCCCACCAAGGCGACGAUCCGUAGCUGGUCUGAGAGGAUGAUCAGCCACACUGGAACUGAGACACGGUCCAGACUCCUACGGGAGGCAGCAGUGGGGAAUAUUGGACAAUGGGCGCAAGCCUGAUCCAGCCAUACCGCGUGGGUGAAGAAGGCCUUCGGGUUGUAAAGCCCUUUUGUUGGGAAAGAAAUCUUUCAGGCUAAUACCCUGGGAGGAUGACGGUACCCAAAGAAUAAGCACCGGCUAACUUCGUG
RNAcentral lists this ribosomal RNA (490 nucleotides) under uncultured bacterium. RNAcentral's name for it is "partial 16S ribosomal RNA". It matches the Rfam family "Bacterial small subunit ribosomal RNA", at positions 29 to 507 of the family's 1533-position model. The record is from RNAcentral.